RNAcentral lists this ribosomal RNA (253 nucleotides) under uncultured bacterium. RNAcentral describes it as "partial 16S ribosomal RNA". It matches the Rfam family "Bacterial small subunit ribosomal RNA", at positions 524 to 776 of the family's 1533-position model. The record is from RNAcentral.
GACGGAGGAUGCAAGCGUUAUCCGGAAUUAUUGGGCGUAAAGCGUCCGUAGGCGGUUUCAAAAGUCUGUUGUUAAAGCCCACAGCUCAACUGUGGAUCGGCAAUGGAAACUGUGAGACUAGAGAGUGGUAGGGGUAGAGGGAAUUCCUAGUGUAGCGGUGAAAUGCGUAGAUAUUAGGAAGAACACCAGUGGCGAAGGCGCUCUACUGGGCCGUAACUGACGCUGAGGAGCGAAAGCAUGGGGAGCGAACAGG